UACACUUACCUUCAAAAUAUAAAGAAGUUAGUGCAAAAGUGACAUCUAAUGGAUCCUUCAUUUCAUCUUUAUUUUAAACUUUACUGCAAUAACUCCGUUACAUAUGGUGGAAACUAUUAAUUAGUAAACAUUUUAAAUUAAUUUAUUUCUCCUCAGUUGUUGAUUUUCUCCAUUUCUUCCAAAGUUCUUAUUUUCAUUUCAGGCCCUCUCUUUCAUACCCACGAUUUCCUUUGUGUUUGGCGCCAAAGAAAGAGCUAUGGCAGAAGCCACCAUCUUCCGCCGACUUCGCUAGUGGACUCCAUAGCUGACCAAGGUCGUUCUUGUGCUCAAGCUCUCCUCUCUACGGUUAAGCAUUCCUGGAAACCCACAACUGAGGAGAGAAGAAACCAUACAACAUGUUUUAUGGUCUUGCCCAGCAGUAAGUGACGUGUGGGCAGAGAAUAAAAGUAGACUUCAGAAGUGGAAGGGCUAUGGAACUAGUGGUAGAAUUGGAUGCCAAGAAUGUGUCGUUUGAAGGAGAUGCCCAAAAAGUAAUUAAAUAAAUAUAUGACAAGGAAGCUCCAUGUGCAUGAAUGGGGCAGCUAGUUGAAGACAUAAUAUACAAAGUAUCUCGUAGACUAAACUGGACAAUCGGAUUUAUCUCUCGAGAAGGAAACUGUGUGGCUCAUGAGCUUGCAAAAAGGGCCUUGAGGAUGGAAGGUGAAUGCUGUUGGAUUAGAGAGGGAUCUGUAGAUGUUUAUCCUAUUGCAAAAGAGAAAAGUUAUAAAUAAUUAUGUAUUACCUUUGCUGCUGUGGCCUUUGUACUCUUUUAUGAUAGUGGAAGUGGUUGGUUCAACUUUGGCAUAUAUUACUCCAUUAUUGAUUAGAACUAGUUUUACUUUGGCAUUUCUUUUCUUUAAUUUUAUCUGAUGGAGACAAGACUCUAAAGUGAUCAUAAAGAACUCUCUUUGUUCACAAA
Carya illinoinensis is the source of this 958-nucleotide long non-coding RNA. RefSeq lists it as uncharacterized. The transcript is spliced from 2 exons. NCBI's taxonomy places the organism in Eukaryota, Viridiplantae, Streptophyta, Magnoliopsida, Fagales, Juglandaceae. The record is from RefSeq and is a predicted model, not a curated record.